Molecule: microRNA precursor, 103 nt
Filed under: Marmota monax (woodchuck)
Lineage: Eukaryota; Metazoa; Chordata; Mammalia; Rodentia; Sciuridae
Source: RNAcentral
AGUGAAAUUGCUGAGUCAUAUGGUAACUCUAGGCAUAAUCUUUUGAGGAACUGCCACACUGUUUUCCAAAAUGACUUCACCAUUUUAAAUUUUUGCCAGCAAU